Molecule: ribosomal RNA, 164 nt
Filed under: uncultured bacterium
Lineage: Bacteria
Description: partial 16S ribosomal RNA
Rfam family: Bacterial small subunit ribosomal RNA
Source: RNAcentral
UAGGGAAUCUUCCACAAUGGACGAAAGUCUGAUGGAGCAACGCCGCGUGAGUGAAGAAGGGUUUCGGCUCGUAAAACUCUGUUGUUAAAGAAGAACAUAUCUGAGAGUAACUGUUCGGGUAUUGACGGUAUUUAACCAGAAAGCCACGGCUAACUACGUGCCAG